Molecule: ribosomal RNA, 465 nt
Filed under: uncultured bacterium
Lineage: Bacteria
Description: partial 16S ribosomal RNA
Rfam family: Bacterial small subunit ribosomal RNA
Source: RNAcentral
CCUACGGGAGGCAGCAGUGGGGAAUAUUGCGCAAUGGGCGAAAGCCUGACGCAGCGACGCCGCGUGCGGGAUGAAGGUCCUCGGAUCGUUAAACUCUGUUAGCAGGGAAGUACGGUCCCUGUGCUAAUCCGCAGUGAAUUGAUGGUACCUGUAAGGGAAGCAUCGGCUAAUUCCGUGCCAGCAGCUGCGGUGAUACGGAGGGUGCGUGUCUUGAUCUGAAUUACUGGGCGGAAAGCGCUCGUAGGCGGUAUGUCAAGUCAAGGGUGAAAUCCCCGCGCCCAACGCGGGGACUGCCGUUGAAACUGGCAAACUGGAGUUUGAGAGAGGAUAGUGGAAUGCGAGGUGUAGGGGUGAAAUGCGUAGAUAUCGGGAGGAACAUCAGUGGCGAAGGCGACGAACCGGCGCAAGACUGACGCUGAGGAGCGAAAGCGUGGGUAGCAAACAGGAUUAGAUACCCGGGUAGUC